GGAAGGGAGGAUUCCGACGCCAUUUUGGGGCAGGGCUUGAGAACUUCGUUCUAUUCUGCCCUUCUUCCUGACCUGGGAGAUGUCAGAAUCUUUCAUUAUCACUUCCACCCUUUUCUGGAAGAACCUGAUUAACUUUUAACGAAGUCAGAUGGAAUGAAAGAAAGCCUGGUACCACACUUCAUAUGUAGAAUGUAAAAAGGAUGGAAGCCUAUUUGGUAGAAUGCCACCCAGCUCCUUUGUGCUGAAGAGUGCCUGCCAUUGCAGGCACUUAGUGGAUCAGUGCUGCACUUGCAGUCAGGUGGACGUGAAAUCAAAUCCUGCCUCAGUCAUUUACUAGCUGUGUAAUUCUGGGCACUUAACUCUUCCCAAAUUUUCUCAUCUGAAAAAAACUGGAAACAGUGAAAGCUCCUACAUUCUAAAGUUGAUGGGAGGACAAAAUGAGGCAUUUAAAAGUGUUAUAUAAAUGAUAGUUAUUAGUAGUAUAACUACUUUUUGAAUUGGGGAGAAAAGAAAAGAAAGCUUGAGCUCUAGGCAAUGUGUUGUGUGUGUGCUGGGGAAGUGCCUGGCACAUAGUAGAUGCUUCAUAAAUGUUUACAGGUUGUUUACAGGAGUUGAAAGGACCAGAGUUCUUUUAUAUUUCUAUAACCUGAGUGCCUUUGACCAAGCUUUAACCUUGCUUCUGGCAUGAGGGCUUGCCAAGUCCUUUUCAGGACUGCUUGCCCACCUUUGGUAUCUACCUGCCAUCCAACUCACCUCUAGACACAGCAAGCCACCCAGUAAAACCAUUGUAGCUAAUGGGCUAAACCUAGCUAGAAACCUUCCCAGUAAUAUUGGGAGUGAAGCAAAGAUGCCCAUUAUCACCACUGCCAUUCGCUAUUGAUUAGAAAUUCUAGAUAUAACAAUAGAAGAAGAAAUCAAAGGAAUUAGAAGAAGCAAUGAGGAAAUAAAUUAUUAUUCUUUGCAGAUGAUACAAAGGUGUACUCAAAUGGACUAAACCAAGUUGAAGGUAACCAACAAGCCACUAACCUGUGGGUGAAUUAGGUACAAUGUCUAUCCCAAGAAUGUGAGAACUUCCUGCAGCAGAAUUUGUUUCCAUUGCCAUAAGCAAGCACUGUGGAGCCCUUAGAACUUGGUCAGACACGGAAGAUGCUAAGAUCAUCCACUGUAUCCAAGGUCAUCACCAGGCACCUUGGCUUUUGUCUUGCCUGGACUUGGAUGACUGGAAGAGAGAGCAAGGCUAAUGACUUUGUGUAACUCUGCCUUAUUUAAAAACAGCUUACAUACAAGUCAAGACAUCACCCUGUAAUAUCAUUCAUCCUCUUUGAAAAUGAAGGACAACAGUCUGAGGUCAAAGAAGCCCCUUCACCCUGGAAGUUCCCUCCACCUGUGUUAGUACUACUACUCACAUUGGAAGUACCCUCCUCCUGGAGACUUCAUCUGCUGAUUGACUGGUUCCUUCCAGCACCUCCAAUUUACAGAAGAAACCCAGACCAAAAAUGUCUUCAUUCUCUCUCUAGGCUGUACUACUGACACGUAUCCAUUGGACUUUCUCUACCACACCCGCGAGUACUAUCUUCUUUCUUCUCCCUUUCGGUUCCCUCUUCUGUUAUCUUCCUCCUUUAGAAUGUAACCUUAUACUUUACAAAGAACUACUGUUAAUAACAGCUAUUCUCAGCAAUACAAUGAUCCAAAACCAUCCCAAAGAGCUCAUGAUUAAAAAAUGCCAUCUACUUCCCGAGAAAAGGAACUGAAUUUGAAUCCAGACCAAAGGGAACUUUUUUCUUUCAUAGUUUUUUUUUCUAUUUGAGUUUCCUUCCACAAGUUUUACAUGAUAGCACCUGUAAGUGUUUCAUAUGACUGCCCAUGUAAAAUCUAAAAUCUAUAUGAGACUGCUUACCAUCUCAGUAGAGGUAAAGGGUUGAGGGGAGGAAGGGAGGGAGAGAAUUCAAGACUCAAUCUUUGAAAAAAUGUUGGAAACUUUUGACAUGCAAUUGGGGGAACAAGUUAAAUUAAAAAUAAAAGAAUGUAAGCUACUUGAGGAGUAGAGACUCUGCUUUUAUUUGCAUUCCCAUCACUCAAUGAAGUUCCAGGAAUACAAUAACCACUUAAUAAAUAAAUGUUUGUUGACUGACUGAUAAAA
Molecule: non-coding RNA, 2140 nt
Organism: Monodelphis domestica (gray short-tailed opossum)
Lineage: Eukaryota; Metazoa; Chordata; Mammalia; Didelphimorphia; Didelphidae
Source: RefSeq, a predicted model, not a curated record